UUUGUGAAGUUUUUCGUUUUUAUUUUCUCUUUCUCUUUCUCUCUCUCUUUAUGUAUAUCUAUGUAUCUAGAGGAAGGUAAGAGAGAGGU
Molecule: non-coding RNA, 89 nt
Filed under: uncultured Mallomonas
Lineage: Eukaryota; Synurophyceae; Synurales; Mallomonadaceae
Source: RNAcentral